UGGAGAGGUAUCGAAGUGGUCAUAACGAGGCGGUCUUGAAAACCGUUUGUCCGAAAGGGCGCAUGGGUUCGAAUCCCAUCCUCUCCGU
Molecule: transfer RNA, 88 nt
Filed under: Lachnospiraceae bacterium
Lineage: Bacteria; Bacillati; Bacillota; Clostridia; Lachnospirales; Lachnospiraceae
Description: tRNA-Ser
Rfam family: tRNA
About the family: Transfer RNA (tRNA) molecules are approximately 80 nucleotides in length. Their secondary structure includes four short double-helical elements and three loops (D, anti-codon, and T loops).
Source: RNAcentral